AGUGAAUCACUGUAAUUGUUAAAUUAGUAAUAUGUCUGUUAAGUGAAUCUGGCUUCCCCAUUGAUUUUAAUUGUCAGAAGGUUACAUGGCCCCAAGGCAUGCAACUAUCAUAAAUGUGAGUCAGUUGCCAAGCGUCUAAAUUUUGAUCAUGUGACCAUGGGGAUGUGGCAAUAGUUGCGUGAAAAACCAUCAGCCACUUCUUCAGUGCUGUUGUGACUUCAAACAGUCACUAAACUAAUGCUUGUAAGUCGAGGAUUACUUGUACUUCAAGGUAUAUUCAGGAGAAGUAUAACAUUUUGGGCAAAUGUUUUUCAAGAAAGCUACUGCAUUUCAUUUAGGUCAUGGGUCCUCAAAUUACAGCCUGGGAGACGAAUGCGGCCCACCAAAGCCAUUAAUCCAACCCGCACAGGACCAUGAGGCUGCCCUGCCCACAUCACCUCGCCCACCCUUUGGCCGAGCACUAGACUUACCUUCGCGAGCCCCACAGGCUGGAACUGAAAGAUUGUAUGUCAGUCUAUUUUUAUUCAAUAACUGUUCUGGGUGCCUUUAAUAAGAAUGAAGGCCAUGAGAAGGUCGCACUAGGUGAUCACAUGACUUUGGGACACAGCAAC
Molecule: long non-coding RNA, 611 nt
Organism: Thamnophis elegans (Western terrestrial garter snake)
Lineage: Eukaryota; Metazoa; Chordata; Lepidosauria; Squamata; Natricidae
Exons: 2
Source: RefSeq, a predicted model, not a curated record